Molecule: ribosomal RNA, 373 nt
Filed under: uncultured bacterium
Lineage: Bacteria
Description: bacterial SSU rRNA
Rfam family: Bacterial small subunit ribosomal RNA
Source: RNAcentral
AUACGAAGGAUGCAAGCGUUAUCCGGAUUUAUUGGGUUUAAAGGGUGCGUAGGCGGACUAUUAAGUCAGUGGUGAAAGCCUGCAGCUUAACUGCAGAACUGCCAUUGAUACUGAUGGUCUUGAGUACACUUGAGGUGGGCGGAAUGUGUCAUGUAGCGGUGAAAUGCUUAGAUAUGACACAGAACACCAAUUGCGAAGGCAGCUCACUAAAUUGUAACUGACGCUGAGGCACGAAAGCGUGGGGAUCAAACAGGAUUAGAUACCCUGGUAGUCCACGCCCUAAACGAUGAUUACUCGAUGUGUGCGAUAUACUGUACGCGUCUGAGCGAAAGCAUUAAGUAAUCCACCUGGGGAGUACGGUCGCAAGACUGAA